CUUUACUGGCUUCAUGCAAGGAUUAUGGAAUAAUCAAAACAGCUGCUUAUUGAAUGAGAUUUUAUGAUCUCUGAACCAGAGCACGAAGAUUUCUUUUUCUAGCUGGUUCUUGGGUCAAUGGACCAUGAGAACUGACUAAUCCCAGGACGAGGGGAAGCCAUGUGAAAACCUCUAACACUCACACAUUUGUGGAGUAGUUUUUAGGGUAGAUCAAACUUUGGAUAGCUCAUUACAACUUUUUUUAGUCUGAUCACUACCACUAGACCAAGCUUGUGUGGGCAAAAAGACUUCGUUCUCAAGGGCGGACCUAGUAAAGAAGAAGGGGGUCACUUGACCCAAGUUGAAUAGUCAAAUUUUAUUUUUUGCAUAGAAUUUUGUUUAGAAUUAGCAGAACAAUUGGUAAAUUCCAAGGUGUUGACACCCCCAAAACAUGAGUUCAAAUCUCUAUAAUGACACUUUUACUCUUUUCUCCUCAAUUUAGUUUUAAAUAAAUGUUUUUUUUGUCUUAUAUAUUUCUUUACUUUUUCCAAAAUAACAGCAAUUAAUAUACUAUUUUUAUUUCCUUAUGAAAUUGAUUUUAUUUUUGUGAGUUUGUAUAAAUAUUAUAAGAAAGUUAGUUAUAAAAUACUGUUUAUAAAUUUUUUUUGACCCCGGUAAAAUUUAUUUAUGGGUCCGCUACUG
Molecule: RNA transcript, 681 nt
Organism: Arabidopsis thaliana (thale cress)
Lineage: Eukaryota; Viridiplantae; Streptophyta; Magnoliopsida; Brassicales; Brassicaceae
Exons: 2
Source: RefSeq